UGAUUAGCUAGUUGGUAAGGUAACGGCUUAACAAGGCGACGAUCAGUAGCCGACCUGAGAGGGUGAUCGGCCACAUUGGAAGUGAGACACGGUCCAAACUCCUACGGGAGGCAGCAGUGGGGAAUAUUGCACAAUGGGCGAAAGCCUGAUGCAGCAACGCCGCGUGAGUGAUGAAGGCCUUCGGGUCGUAAAACUCUGUCCUCAAGGAAGAUAAUGACGGUACUUGAGGAGGAAGCCCCGGCUAACUACGUGCCAGCAGCCGCGGUAAUACGUAGGGGGCUAGCGUUAUCCGGAUUUACUGGGCGUAAAGGGUGCGUAGGCGGUCUUUCAAGUCAGGAGUGAAAGGCUACGGCUCAACCGUAGUAAGCUCUUGAAACUGGGAGACUUGAGUGCAGGAGAGGAGAGUGGAAUUCCUAGUGUAGCGGUGAAAUGCGUAGAUAUUAGGAGGAACACCAGUUGCGAAGGCGGCUCUCUGGACUGUAACUGACGCUGAGGCACGAAAGCGUGGGGAGCAAACAGGAUUAGAUACCCUGGUAGUCCACGCUGUAAACGAUGAGUACUAGGUGUCGGGGGUUACCCCCUUCG
This 585-nucleotide ribosomal RNA is filed under the name uncultured bacterium. RNAcentral describes it as "bacterial SSU rRNA". It matches the Rfam family "Bacterial small subunit ribosomal RNA", at positions 238 to 842 of the family's 1533-position model. The record is from RNAcentral.